RNAcentral lists this long non-coding RNA (398 nucleotides) under Nicotiana benthamiana. RNAcentral's name for it is "long non-coding RNA (NBEN_LNC021346)". Lineage: Eukaryota; Viridiplantae; Streptophyta; Magnoliopsida; Solanales; Solanaceae. The record is from RNAcentral.
CUUGUCUCUUGACCUUUUUAGCAUUGGACCAAUCAUGCUGCAAAGAUGAAAGGCCUUCUGACAGUGGAGGGGGCAACGGACCAGAUUUUGCAUAAUUGUUGCUCUCUGUGAGAACUGAUUGUGUAUUCGAAGUGAUAGGUCCAGAUAACUUCACGUCUGCCACAAGCUUUUCAUGUUUGAACUGAUCCAAAGGGGACGAAUGCCAUGAGUGAAGUACACUAGCAGUCUGGCCAGUUCGCCGGUGAUAGGUCCAGAUAACUUCUCAUCUGCCACAAGCUUUUCAUGUUUGAACUGAUCCAAAGGGGACGAAUGCCAUGAGUGAAGUAAACUAGCAGUCUGGCCAGUUCCCCUUGUUUGAGGGCGUACACUAUAUGAUUUUACUGAAUCCGUAGUUUUUG